This is a long non-coding RNA of Oxyura jamaicensis (ruddy duck), 644 nucleotides long. RefSeq lists it as uncharacterized. The record is from RefSeq and is a predicted model, not a curated record. Lineage: Eukaryota; Metazoa; Chordata; Aves; Anseriformes; Anatidae. The transcript has 2 exons.
UCCACUAGAAAUAUUUUGGACUCACUUAAGUGAGUCAAGGUUACUGAACUAUCUCUAAUUUUAACUUUCAGUGAUAGGCAUUAUUUUUAAAAAAUGUUUUAUAUUUUAAUCAGAAAAGUGGACCAGAAUACAAGGAAUACAAGAAUACAAGAACCAGAACACAAAAGGAAUACAAAUACUUUAAUAAAGAAAAUACCUGACUACAUUCAAGGCAAUGCUUUACUAGACAGACUGAUGCAUAUUUUUUUUUCUAUUUUUUUUUUUCUUUUUUCCUCUCAGUUAAUGCUGAUACAAAUACUAUAUCAAAUCAUUCCCAAUUGUUCAAAUUAAAAAUUCACACAAUACAUGUUCCUAAAUGUUGUGAAUUAUCUCCGUCCUCUGUUUCCUCUUUCUGUUUCUCUUUUAUUGCCAAAAACCAACAGAAGAGCCCUGAAAUGCCUGCUAUAUAUCAAGAAUGAGAGAACUUGUAAUUCACAAACUGCAGUAAGUGUCAUUUAUCAUUAAUGUGAUGAAGAUUAAUGUAGUUUCCCACUAAAAAGAACCUUAUGAAGAUGACUCUGGCUUGCAGGAAAAAGGAAUAUUCAUUCAUCUUUAUUGAAUGUAAUAGUCUAAGGAUUCAGGAACAAGCAUUUGUUACAUUCUUU